UGUGUUUGCCUUGGUUGCCUGUGUGU
This 26-nucleotide non-coding RNA is filed under the name Homo sapiens (human). Lineage: Eukaryota; Metazoa; Chordata; Mammalia; Primates; Hominidae. The record is from RNAcentral.